Molecule: long non-coding RNA, 64 nt
Organism: Amblyraja radiata (thorny skate)
Lineage: Eukaryota; Metazoa; Chordata; Chondrichthyes; Rajiformes; Rajidae
Exons: 4
Source: RefSeq, a predicted model, not a curated record
GUUCAGGUUAUCUCAUGACAUUUGAGCAGAAAACUGAAGACUACGAGAGACUCGCCAAUGAAUU